Molecule: ribosomal RNA, 493 nt
Filed under: uncultured bacterium
Lineage: Bacteria
Description: bacterial SSU rRNA
Rfam family: Bacterial small subunit ribosomal RNA
Source: RNAcentral
CUUAACACAUGCAAGUCGAACGAGAAGAGAUGAGAAGCUUGCUUCUUAUCAAUUCGAGUGGCAAACGGGUGAGUAACGCGUAGACAACCUGCCGCAAAGAUGGGGACAACAGUCCGAAAGGACUGCUAAUACCGAAUGUUGUAUCUCCUCCGCAUGGAAGAGAUAUUAAAGAUGGCCUCUACUUGUAAGCUAUCGCCUGAAGAGGGGUUUGCGUCUGAUUAGGUAGUUGGUGAGGUAACGGCCCACCAAGCCGACGAUCAGUAGCCGGUCUGAGAGGAUGAACGGCCACACUGGAACUGAGACACGGUCCAGACUCCUACGGGAGGCAGCAGUGGGGAAUCUUCCGCAAUGGGCGAAAGCCUGACGGAGCAACGCCGCGUGAGUGAUGACGGCCUUCGGGUUGUAAAGCUCUGUGAUCGGGGACGAACGGUCAGCAGACGAAUACUCUGCUGAAGUGACGGUACCCGAAUAGCAAGCCACGGCUAACUACGUG